ACGACGCUGGCGGCGUGCCUAAUACAUGCAAGUCGAGCGAAUCUUGGGAGCUUGCUACCCAAAAGUUAGCGGCGGACGGGUGAGUAACACGUGGCAACCUGCCUAUAAGACUGGGAUAACUUCGGGAAACCGGAGCUAAUACCGGAUAAUUCUUUUCUACUCAUGUAGGAAAGCUAAAAGACGGUUUACGCUGUCACUUAUAGAUGGGCCCGCGGCGCAUUAGCUAGUUGGUGAGGUAACGGCUCACCAAGGCCACGAUGCGUAGCCGACCUGAGAGGGUGAUCGGCCACACUGGGACUGAGACACGGCCCAGACUCCUACGGGAGGCAGCAGUAGGGAAUCUUCCGCAAUGGACGAAAGUCUGACGGAGCAACGCCGCCGUGAGUGAUGAAGGUUUUCGGAUCGUAAAACUCUGUUGUUAGGGAAGAACAAGUACGAGAGUAACUGCUCGUACCUUGACGGUACCUAACCAGAAAGCCACGGCUAACUACGUGCCAGCCGCCGC
This 505-nucleotide ribosomal RNA is filed under the name uncultured bacterium. RNAcentral's name for it is "bacterial SSU rRNA". It matches the Rfam family "Bacterial small subunit ribosomal RNA", at positions 32 to 518 of the family's 1533-position model. The record is from RNAcentral.